RNAcentral lists this ribosomal RNA (614 nucleotides) under uncultured fungus. Its description in RNAcentral is "LSU rRNA". It matches the Rfam family "Eukaryotic large subunit ribosomal RNA", at positions 38 to 667 of the family's 3401-position model. The record is from RNAcentral. Lineage: Eukaryota; Fungi.
GCAUAUCAAUAAGCGGAGGAAAAGAAACCAACAGGGGUUGCCCUAGUAACGGCGAGUGAAGCGGCAACAGCUCAAAUUUGAAAGCUGGCCUUCGGGUCCGCAUUGUAAUUUGUAGAGGAUGCUUUGGGUGAAACGCCAGUCUAAGUUCCUUGGAACAGGACGUCAUAGAGGGUGAGAAUCCCGUAUGUGACUGGAAAUGUUAACCUAUGUAAAGCUCCUUCGACGAGUCGAGUUGUUUGGGAAUGCAGCUCUAAAUGGGAGGUAAAUUUCUUCUAAAGCUAAAUAUUGGCGAGAGACCGAUAGCGCACAAGUAGAGUGAUCGAAAGAUGAAAGGCACUUUGGAAAGAGAGUUAAAAAGCACGUGAAAUUGUUGAAAGGGAAGCGCUUGCAAUCAGACUUGUUUAAACUGUUCGGCCGGUCUUCUGACCGGUUUACUCAGUUUGGACAGGCCAGCAUCAGUUUCGGCGGCCGGAUAAAGGCUCUGGGAAUGUGGCCUUCACUUCGGUGAAGGUGUUAUAGCCCAGGGUGUAAUACGGCCAGCCGGGACUGAGGUCCGCGCUUCGGCUAGGAUGCUGGCGUAAUGGUUGUAAGCGACCCGUCUUGAAACACGGACC